CGUUGCAUAACUGCUCAGGAGCUAAUGCUAAACUAAAUGGAAUUGCGGUAUGUCGAGCUCUCCCAAAGAUCACUUAUCCAUGGUAUUUUAGUUCAUGAGAAAAUUCAAUUCAACAGUUAUUUAAGCAAGUUUCACUCCAAAAAAUUACUCAUGCGGGUCUAUUAUAAAAAUUAUACACCUACCUAUAUUAGUCUACCUACAUACACACCACCUUAUUUUUGGCACCAAUGAGUUGGAUUGGAUGAUUUCCCCCCUCGAAUAGUAAUUUAUGACUAUAUAUGGGAAUGAUGCAUUAGAUUGUUUUAAAAAAAAAAAUAGAUAAGCUUUCUUUUGAAAACAAAGAACAAAAAACAAAAAAAAGAAAACACAUAAUCACAUAUAAUUCUCAAUAGCUCUCCUCCGUCAAAUGAAAUGAUUACCAUCAUUGCUUUUAUGAAGAUAAUUUAGGAAGUCCACAUAAGUCGAACUUUUCUUUCAUCCUAUGCACACAAGCAAACCUUGUCAUUAACUAUCUCGCACAAAAAGAGAUUUCCAAUUGGUAAGGAGAGCAAUAAAAAACUAAAGUCAUCAUUAAAUCAAACAAAUUGGAUAGUCAUUAAUGUGUGGUCAUUACUGACGUACAUACAAAACGCAAUUUACGUGACUGACAUACAUACACAAAGCGAUUUACAAUUCAUGAAUUUGCUUCUAGUAUUAGUAUAAGGGCGUGUUUGAUACCGGGACGUGUGACGUGGGAACUUAUUAAAACUAUUCAUGUUUGCUGUUUGAUAAAAAAAAUGGAAGUUCAAAUCGGAACUUCAAGGUACUGUUCAUCUUCCCUUCUCUUCCCAUCUUCGGCCGCUGAGCACCCCUCUCUUCGCGGCACGACCCCUCUCUUCUGUUCUCCGCGUUCAGCCUCUCAGCCACCCCCCUCUUCGCAGCCCGCCACUAUCUCAGGCAGACUCCUCCCUCGCUAGCGUUUACUCAGCUGCUCUUGAGCUCUGAUCCUUGAUCUUGAGGUAUGCUAUUGACUCUUAUUCUCUCUGUGUUAUUGAUCUCUGUGUUUGUUCUUGACCUCUUGAAGCAAAGAGCUCUUAUUCUCUCUGUGUUAUUGAUCUUGAGGUAUGUUAUUGGCUCUGAUUGUCUUCGUCUUUCUCUCUCUAUCUCUUCUUUGAGCUCUGAACCUUCCUAUUGAGCUCUGAUCUGUGUUCUUCAUCUUUCUGGAGGUAUUUAUUUGGCGAUUUUACAGAUUUUUCGCAACUGUCCAAUAGAUCUCAGCUCAGGUACAAAAAACAAUAGAGCUCAGUUACACAGAUUAUUUAAACUGUUUGUAAUAAAAUCCGAGGCCUUUUUUUUUUUUGUGUUUAUUUGGUGAUUUUACAGACUUUUCGCAACAGCCCAAUAGAUCAGAGCUCAGUUACAAAAAAAAAAAUAGAGCUCAUUUACAAACUGAUUAUUCAAACAGUUUGUAAUAAAAUCUGAGUCCUUUUUUUUGUGCUUAUUUGGAGAUUUUACAUAUUUUUCGCAACAGCCCAAUAGAUCAGAGCUCAUUUUUACAAAAAAAAAUAGAGCGCAGUUAUAAACUGAUUAUUCAAACAGUUCGUAAUAACAUCUGAGUCCUCUUUUUUUUUGUGUUUAUUUGGUGAUUUUACAGAUUUUCGCAACAGCCCAAUAGAUCAGAGCUCAGUUACAAAAAAAAUAGAGCUCGGUUACAAACUGAUUAUUCAAACAGUUUGUAAUAAAAUCUGAGUCCUUUUUGCUUUGUGUUUAUUUGGCAAUUUUACAGAUUUUUCGCAAACAGCCCAAUAGACAGAGCUCACUUACAAAAAAAAUAGAGCUCAGUUACACAUUGAUUAUUUAAACAAUUUGUAAUAAAAUCCGAGUCCUUUUUUUUUUUGUGUUUAUUUAGCAAUUUUACAGAUUUUUCGCAACAGCCCAAUUGAUCAGAGCUCAGUUACAAAAAAAAAAAAGAGCUCAGUUAUAAACUGAUUAUUCAAACAGUUUGUAACAAAAUCUGAGUCCUUUUUUUCGUGCUUAUUUGGCAAUUUUACAGACUUCACAACAGCCC
RNAcentral lists this long non-coding RNA (2047 nucleotides) under Amborella trichopoda. RNAcentral describes it as "long non-coding RNA (ATRI_LNC000786)". Lineage: Eukaryota; Viridiplantae; Streptophyta; Magnoliopsida; Amborellales; Amborellaceae. The record is from RNAcentral.